CUGGUGAAGACUGAGCCAGGGCUGGAGACUUCACCUGAUUUCUUGUCUUCUGGCCUCUCUCAUCUGCAGAAGAAGAACACCCCCUUUCAUGCCUUCCAAGUCUGCAUUUACAAUCUCUGAAGCAGCUGGUGAAAAGGGCAAAGGAAGAAGCAAAGGGACCGAUUGAACUUUGGAAUGCACCUGUCAAGGCAGUUGGGUGUUCCUGUUAGCAACAGGAGGCAGAAAUUGGCAAGAGUCCCAAGACUAUAAGCUUCAGAAGAGCAAGAGGAAUAGUGGAAGUCUACAUGCCAGCUAUCUGGAAGAUCUAAUUCACUCCUGAUGUGUAUCUAGUUUCCCAAGUGCACUCAGGUAAUUUGAUAUAAAUGAUUAAAGACAGAUGUUUCUAGUGGAGACCAAUGGGAACUUCAUCACAGAACAAAUUGCAUUCCCAAGGAAAGUACCAAGAAGACCUU
Varanus komodoensis (Komodo dragon) is the source of this 452-nucleotide long non-coding RNA. RefSeq lists it as uncharacterized. The record is from RefSeq and is a predicted model, not a curated record. The transcript has 4 exons. Lineage: Eukaryota; Metazoa; Chordata; Lepidosauria; Squamata; Varanidae.